Molecule: ribosomal RNA, 497 nt
Filed under: uncultured bacterium
Lineage: Bacteria
Description: partial 16S ribosomal RNA
Rfam family: Bacterial small subunit ribosomal RNA
Source: RNAcentral
GAUGAACGCUGGCGGCGUGCCUAAUACAUGCAAGUCGAGCGAACGGACGAGAAGCUUGCUUCUCUGAUGUUAGCGGCGGACGGGUGAGUAACACGUGGAUAACCUACCUAUAAGACUGGGAUAACUUCGGGAAACCGUAGCUAAUACCGGAUAAUAUUUUGAACCGCAUGGUUCAAAAGUGAAAGACGGUCUUGCUGUCACUUAUAGAUGGAUCCGCGCUGCAUUAGCUAGUUGGUAAGGUAACGGCUUACCAAGGCAACGAUGCAUAGCCGACCUGAGAGGGUGAUCGGCCACCCUGGAACUGAGACACGGUCCAGACUCCUACGGGAGGCAGCAGUAGGGAAUCUUCCGCAAUGGGCGAAAGCCUGACGGAGCAACGCCGCGUGAGUGAUGAAGGUCUUCGGAUCGUAAAACUCUGUUAUUAGGGAAGAACAUAUGUGUAAGUAACUGUGCACAGCUUGACGGUACCUAAUCAGAAAGCCACGGCUAACUACGUG